RNAcentral lists this ribosomal RNA (335 nucleotides) under uncultured eukaryote. Its description in RNAcentral is "partial 18S ribosomal RNA". It matches the Rfam family "Eukaryotic small subunit ribosomal RNA", at positions 1470 to 1796 of the family's 1831-position model. The record is from RNAcentral.
CCCUUAGAUGUUCUGGGCUGCACGCGCGCUACACUGACGGAGCCAGCGAGCCUUGUCCUUCGCCGGAAGGUGCGGGUAAUCUUGCUAACCUCCGUCGUGCUGGGGAUAGAUGGUUGCAAUUAUUGAUCUUCAACGAGGAAUUCCUAGUAAGCGCAAGUCAUCAGCUUGCGUUGAUUACGUCCCUGCCCUUUGUACACACCGCCCGUCGCUACUACCGAUUGAAUGGUUUAAUGAGAUUUUCGGACUGGAGCCGGGCCGGGCCGGCAACGGUGCGGCUUUUGUGCUUCGGGAAGUCAAUCUAAUUGAAUCAUUUAGAGGAAGGUGAAGUCGUAACA